RNAcentral lists this ribosomal RNA (512 nucleotides) under uncultured bacterium. RNAcentral describes it as "partial 16S ribosomal RNA". It matches the Rfam family "Bacterial small subunit ribosomal RNA", at positions 28 to 507 of the family's 1533-position model. The record is from RNAcentral.
GACGAACGCUGGCGGCGUGCCUAAUACAUGCAAGUCGAGCGGGCGGAACUAACAGAUUUACUUCGGUAAUGACGUUAGGAAAGCGAGCGGCGGAUGGGCGAGUAACACGUGGGGAACCUGCCCCAUAGUCUGGGAUACCACUUGGAAACAGGUGCUAAUACCGGAUAAGAAAGCAGAUCGCAUGAUCAGCUUUUAAAAGGCGGCGUAAGCUGUCGCUAUGGGAUGGCCCCGCGGUGCAUUAGCUAGUUGGUAAGGUAAAGGCUUACCAAGGCGAUGAUGCAUAGCCGAGUUGAGAGACUGAUCGGCCACAUUGGGACUGAGACACGGCCCAAACUCCUACGGGAGGCAGCAGUAGGGAAUCUUCCACAAUGGACGAAAGUCUGAUGGAGCAACGCCGCGUGAGUGAAGAAGGUUUUCGGAUCGUAAAGCUCUGUUGUUGGUGAAGAAGGAUAGAGGUAGUAACUGGCCUUUAUUUGACGGUAAUCAACCAGAAAGUCACGGCUAACUACGUG